Molecule: ribosomal RNA, 22 nt
Filed under: Anopheles parensis
Lineage: Eukaryota; Metazoa; Arthropoda; Insecta; Diptera; Culicidae
Description: partial 28S ribosomal RNA
Source: RNAcentral
UAGGCCUCAAGUAUGUGAGCAA